Molecule: ribosomal RNA, 498 nt
Filed under: Bacillus subtilis
Lineage: Bacteria; Bacillati; Bacillota; Bacilli; Caryophanales; Bacillaceae
Description: bacterial SSU rRNA
Rfam family: Bacterial small subunit ribosomal RNA
Source: RNAcentral
GUUGUUUGAACCGCAUGGUUCAAACAUAAAAGGUGGCUUCGGCUACCACUUACAGAUGGACCCGCGGCGCAUUAGCUAGUUGGUGAGGUAACGGCUCACCAAGGCGACGAUGCGUAGCCGACCUGAGAGGGUGAUCGGCCACACUGGGACUGAGACACGGCCCAGACUCCUACGGGAGGCAGCAGUAGGGAAUCUUCCGCAAUGGACGAAAGUCUGACGGAGCAACGCCGCGUGAGUGAUGAAGGUUUUCGGAUCGUAAAGCUCUGUUGUUAGGGAAGAACAAGUACCGUUCGAAUAGGGCGGUACCUUGACGGUACCUAACCAGAAAGCCACGGCUAACUACGUGCCAGCAGCCGCGGUAAUACGUAGGUGGCAAGCGUUGUCCGGAAUUAUUGGGCGUAAAGGGCUCGCAGGCGGUUUCUUAAGUCUGAUGUGAAAGCCCCCGGCUCAACCGGGGAGGGUCAUUGGAAACUGGGGAACUUGAGUGCAGAAGAGGAG